Molecule: ribosomal RNA, 372 nt
Filed under: uncultured organism
Description: bacterial SSU rRNA
Rfam family: Bacterial small subunit ribosomal RNA
Source: RNAcentral
CGGAGGGUGCAAGCGUUGUCCGGAAUCACUGGGCGUAAAGGGCGCGUAGGUGGCUUGGCGCGCGUGCGGUGAAAGCCCGGGGCUUAACCCCGGGUCUGCCGUGCGGACGGCCAGGCUAGGGCACUGUAGAGGCGGGUAGAAUUCCGGGUGUAGCGGUGGAAUGCGUAGAGAUCCGGAAGAAUACCGGUGGCGAAGGCGGCCUGCUGGGCAGUUGCCGACACUGAGGCGCGACAGCGUGGGGAGCAAACAGGAUUAGAUACCCUGGUAGUCCACGCCGUAAACGAUGGGCACUAGGUGCUUGGGGGAGCGACCCUCUGAGUGCCGUCGCUAACGCAGUAAGUGCCCCGCCUGGGGAGUACGACCGCAAGGUUG